RNAcentral lists this ribosomal RNA (459 nucleotides) under uncultured bacterium. Its description in RNAcentral is "partial 16S ribosomal RNA". It matches the Rfam family "Bacterial small subunit ribosomal RNA", at positions 338 to 795 of the family's 1533-position model. The record is from RNAcentral.
CCUACGGGAGGCAGCAGUGAGGAAUAUUGGUCAAUGGGCGCGAGCCUGAACCAGCCAAGUCGCGUGAGGGAAGACGGUCCUAUGGAUUGUAAACCUCUUUUGUCGGGGAGCAAAAGACGCCACGCGUGGCGUUCCGAGAGUACCCGAAGAAAAAGCAUCGGCUAACUCCGUGCCAGCAGCCGCGGUAAUACGGAGGAUUCAAGCGUUAGCCGGAUUUAUUGGGUUUAAAGGGUGCGCAGGCGGAAGAUAAAGUUAACGGUAAAAUUGCGGGGCUCAACCUCUUAGUGCCGUUGAAACUGGUUUUCUUGAGUGAGGGAGAGGUAGGCGGAAGGCGUGGUGUAGCGGUGAAAUGCAUAGAUAUCACGCAGAACUCCGAUUGCGAAGGCAGCAUACCGGCGCUCAACUGACGCUCAUGCACGAAAGUGUGGGUAUCGAACAGGAUUAGAUACCCUUGUAGUC